Molecule: transfer RNA, 73 nt
Filed under: Diaphorina citri (Asian citrus psyllid)
Lineage: Eukaryota; Metazoa; Arthropoda; Insecta; Hemiptera; Psyllidae
Rfam family: tRNA
About the family: Transfer RNA (tRNA) molecules are approximately 80 nucleotides in length. Their secondary structure includes four short double-helical elements and three loops (D, anti-codon, and T loops).
Source: Rfam by way of RNAcentral
GCCUAGAUUGCUUGGUUGGUAGCGCGUCUGCCUUGUAAGCGCUAGGCCGCGGGUUCGAUUCCCGCCCGGGGCG